UAACUUUCAACAACGGAUCUCUUGGCUCUCGCAUCGAUGAAGAACGCAGCGAAAUGCGAUAAGUAAUGUGAAUUGCAGAAUUCAGUGAAUCAUCGAAUCUUUGAACGCAACUUGCGCUCUUUGGUAUUCCGAAGAGCAUGCCUGUUUGAGUGUCAUGA
RNAcentral lists this ribosomal RNA (158 nucleotides) under Pascua guehoae. RNAcentral describes it as "5.8S ribosomal RNA". It matches the Rfam family "5.8S ribosomal RNA". From Rfam's summary of the family: 5.8S ribosomal RNA (5.8S rRNA) is a component of the large subunit of the eukaryotic ribosome. It is transcribed by RNA polymerase I as part of the 45S precursor that also contains 18S and 28S rRNA. The record is from RNAcentral. Lineage: Eukaryota; Fungi; Basidiomycota; Tremellomycetes; Trichosporonales; Trichosporonaceae.